Molecule: ribosomal RNA, 253 nt
Filed under: uncultured bacterium
Lineage: Bacteria
Description: partial 16S ribosomal RNA
Rfam family: Bacterial small subunit ribosomal RNA
Source: RNAcentral
UACGUAGAGUGCGAGCGUUGUCCGGAAUUAUUGGGCGUAAAGAGCUUGUAGGCGGUCUGUCGCGUCUGCUGUGAAAAUCCGGGGCUCAACCCCGGACUUGCAGUGGGUACGGGCAGACUAGAGUGUGGUAGGGGAGACUGGAAUUCCUGGUGUAGCGGUGAAAUGCGCAGAUAUCAGGAGGAACACCGAUGGCGAAGGCAGGUCUCUGGGCCACUACUGACGCUGAGAAGCGAAAGCAUGGGGAGCGAACAGG